Molecule: non-coding RNA, 520 nt
Organism: Ictidomys tridecemlineatus (thirteen-lined ground squirrel)
Lineage: Eukaryota; Metazoa; Chordata; Mammalia; Rodentia; Sciuridae
Source: RefSeq, a predicted model, not a curated record
AAAGUAAUUCCUGCCUGCAGACUCAUCUUCUUUGCCUUUGAGGAGGUACCACUUCAAUCAAAAUGGCCAGCAGGUUAUGCAAGAAACCGAGAAUAGAGACUCAAAGUGACAUGAAAACUUGAAGAGAUGAGUAAAGAGACGAAGAAGGAAGAGGAGGAGAAGAAGGAGGGGGAGGAAGAGAGAAAGAAAAAAAAAGUCCUAAGAAAUUAACAGUUAUUUAUAAAGCAUUUGCCAUGAUAUUCCACGUGCUUUACAUACAUGAACUUCUUAUUACCCACAAAACCACUUUGAGACCAUCUCCAUUUUAGAGUAGAAGAAAGGUAAAAUACCUGACCCCGGAACAUACAAGCUGUAGAUCAUACAGGCAACCCAAAAUUUAUAGCUAAAAAAAAUGAUGCUUUCCAUCAUACCAAAUCCUUCCUUCCUUAAAUGCAGGGAGAAAUUAAGGCUUAUGUAAAGAUAGAGGAAGGUAAAAAUGUUAAUGUUUUAUGGAGAAAUAAAAUUAGUGUUUUCGCUCUAA